This 72-nucleotide transfer RNA is filed under the name Ictidomys tridecemlineatus (thirteen-lined ground squirrel). Its description in RNAcentral is "Spermophilus tridecemlineatus (thirteen-lined ground squirrel) tRNA". It matches the Rfam family "tRNA". From Rfam's summary of the family: Transfer RNA (tRNA) molecules are approximately 80 nucleotides in length. Their secondary structure includes four short double-helical elements and three loops (D, anti-codon, and T loops). Further hydrogen bonds mediate the characteristic L-shaped molecular structure. tRNAs have two regions of fundamental functional importance: the anti-codon, which is responsible for specific mRNA codon recognition, and the 3' end, to which the tRNAs corresponding amino acid is attached (by aminoacyl-tRNA synthetases). tRNAs cope with the degeneracy of the genetic code in two manners: having more than one tRNA (with a specific anti-codon) for a particular amino acid; and 'wobble' base-pairing, i.e. permitting non-standard base-pairing at the 3rd anti-codon position. The record is from Rfam by way of RNAcentral. Lineage: Eukaryota; Metazoa; Chordata; Mammalia; Rodentia; Sciuridae.
GGGGUUGUGGCUAAGUGGUAGAGCCCUUAUCUAGCAUUUGUGAGACCCUGAGUUCAAUUCUCAGCAUCACAU